GUUAUAUGGUCAAGCGAAUAAGCGCACACGGUGGAUGCCUUGGCGGUCAGAGGCGAUGAAGGACGUGGCAGCCUGCGAAAAGUAUCGGGGAGCUGGCAACAAGCUUUGAUCCGGUAAUGUCCGAAUGGGGAAACCCACCCGCUUGCGGGUAUCCUGCAGUGAAUACAUAGCUGCUGGAAGCGAACCUGGUGAACUGAAAUAUCUAAGUAACCAGAGGAAAAGAAAUCAACCGAGAUUCCGUAAGUAGCGACGAGCGAACGCGGACUAGCCCUUAAGCUGAUUUGGUUCUAGGAAAACGCUCUGGAAAGAGCGGCCAUAGAAGGUGAUAGCCCUGUAUCUGAAAGGGCCAUUUCAGUGAAGACGAGUAGGGCGGGGCACGUGAAACCCUGUCUGAACAUGGGGGGACCAUCCUCCAAGGCUAAAUACUACUGACCGACCGAUAGUGAACCAGUACCGUGAGGGAAAGGCGAAAAGAACCCCGGAGAGGGGAGUGAAAUAGAUCCUGAAACCGUGUGCGUACAAGCAGUAGGAGCUCCGCAAGGAGUGACUGCGUACCUUUUGUAUAAUGGGUCAGCGACUUACUGUUCGUGGCAAGCUUAACCGUAUAGGGGAGGCGAAGGGAAACCGAGUCUGAUAAGGGCGCAUAGUCGCGGGCAGUAGACCCGAAACCGGGUGAUCUAGUCAUGGCCAGGGUGAAGGUGCCGUAACAGGUACUGGAGGCCCGAACCCACGUCUGUUGCAAAAGACGGGGAUGAGCUGUGAUUAGGAGUGAAAAGCUAAUCGAACCCGGAGAUAGCUGGUUCUCCUCGAAAGCUAUUUAGGUAGCGCCUCAUAUGUAUCCUCUCGGGGGUAGAGCACUGUUAUGGCUAGGGGGUCAUCGCGACUUACCAAACCAUUGCAAACUCCGAAUACCGAGACGGACUGUAUGGGAGACACACGGCGGGUGCUAACGUCCGUCGUGAAAAGGGAAACAACCCAGACCCACAGCUAAGGUCCCAAAUUCACUGCUAAGUGGAAAACCAUGUGGAAAGGCACAGACAGCCAGGAGGUUGGCUUAGAAGCAGCCACCCUUUAAAGAAAGCGUAAUAGCUCACUGGUCGAGUCGGUCUGCGGGGAAGAUUUAACGGGGCUAAGCAGUGAACCGAAGCUUGGGGUGUGCAUAUUUAUAUGUACGCGGUAGAGGAGCGUUCCGUAAGCCGUUGAAGGUGGAUUGAGAAGUCUGCUGGAGGUAUCGGAAGUGCGAAUGCUGACAUGAGUAACGAUAAUGCGGGUGAAAAACCCGCACGCCGAAAGCCCAAGGUUUCCUUGCGCAACGUUAAUCGGCGCAGGGUGAGUCGGCCCCUAAGGCGAGGACGAAAGUCGUAGUCGAUGGGAAGCAGGUUAAUAUUCCUGCACCUCGCGUAAGUGCGAUGGAGGGACGGAGAAGGUUAGGUGUACCAGGCGUUGGUUGUCCUGGGGAAAGGCGGUAGGUUUGGAUCUUUGGCAAAUCCGGGAUCCUUUAAGACCGAGCACCGAGACGAGCCUUUAUGGCGAAGUCACUGAUACCACGCUUCCAGGAAAAGCUCCUAAGCUUCAGCUUACGCAGACCGUACCGUAAACCGACACAGGUGGGUAGGAUGAGAAUUCUCAGGCGCUUGAGAGAACUCGGGUGAAGGAACUAGGCAACAUGGCACCGUAACUUCGGGAGAAGGUGCACCCUUUUUGGUGGCUCGUGCGAGCUAUAGCUGAAGAGGGUCGCAGUAACCAGGCCGCUGCGACUGUUUAUCAAAAACACAGCACUCUGCAAACACGAAAGUGGACGUAUAGGGUGUGACGCCUGCCCGGUGCUGGAAGGUUAAUUGAUGGGGUCAGCCGCAAGGCGAAGCUCUUGAUCGAAGCCCCAGUAAACGGCGGCCGUAACUAUAACGGUCCUAAGGUAGCGAAAUUCCUUGUCGGGUAAGUUCCGACCUGCACGAAUGGCGUAACGACAGCGGCGCUGUCUCCACCCGAGACUCAGUGAAAUUGAAAUCGCUGUGAAGAUGCAGCGUUCCCGUGGCAAGACGGAAAGACCCCGUGAACCUUUACUAUAGCUUUACACUGAACGUUGAGUUCGUCUGUGUAGGAUAGGUGGGAGGCUAUGAAACCAUGGCGCUAGCUGUGGCGGAGCCAUCCUUGAAAUACCACCCUGUCGUGCUUGACGUUCUAACCUGGGCCCAUUAUCUGGGUCGGGGACCGUGUAUGGUGGGUAGUUUGACUGGGGCGGUCUCCUCCUAAAGAGUAACGGAGGAGCUCGAAGGUACGCUCAGCGCGGUCGGACAUCGCGCACUGUGUGCAAAGGCAUAAGCGUGCUUGACUGCAAGAUCGACGGAUCAAGCAGGUAGGAAACUAGGACUUAGUGAUCCGGUGGUUCUGUAUGGAAGGGCCAUCGCUCAACGGAUAAAAGGUACUCCGGGGAUAACAGGCUGAUACCGCCCAAGAGUUCAUAUCGACGGCGGUGUUUGGCACCUCGAUGUCGGCUCAUCACAUCCUGGGGCUGUAGUCGGUCCCAAGGGUAUGGCUGUUCGCCAUUUAAAGUGGUACGCGAGCUGGGUUCAGAACGUCGUGAGACAGUUCGGUCCCUAUCUGCCAUGGGCGUUGGAGAUUUGAGAGGGGCUGCUCCUAGUACGAGAGGACCGGAGUGGACGAACCUCUGGUGUUCCGGUUGUCACGCCAGUGGCAUUGCCGGGUAGCUAUGUUCGGAAGCGAUAACCGCUGAAAGCAUCUAAGCGGGAAGCGCGCCUCAAGAUGAGAUCUCCCGGGGCACAAGCCCCCUGAAGGAACCAUAUAGACUAUGUGGUUGAUAGGUCAGGUGUGUAAGUACAGCAAUGUAUUGAGCUAACUGAUACUAAUGAUCCGUGUGGCUUGACCAUAUAACCU
RNAcentral lists this ribosomal RNA (2895 nucleotides) under Stenotrophomonas maltophilia. RNAcentral describes it as "23S ribosomal RNA". It matches the Rfam family "Bacterial large subunit ribosomal RNA". Lineage: Bacteria; Pseudomonadati; Pseudomonadota; Gammaproteobacteria; Lysobacterales; Lysobacteraceae. The record is from RNAcentral.